UUUUUUUUCAGAAGAGGAAGAAAUAUGCAAAAGCUUGAACUUCUGAGAAAUAUAGAAAGCAGUAAACAGCCCGGUUCACUCUGCAGGCAGUAUGAAAGCUAUUUACGUCUUUUUGGUGGCGUGUGUGCUCAUUGCCUCUUAUGCUUCUGUUGGUGUUGAGGCUUUUGGAUGCUAUUUUAAUAAACAAAAGUGCCACGACCACUGUCGAAACAAUGGAUAUAGUGGAGGAUACUGUCACGGGGUCCUCAAGCAGCAAUGUAGAUGCUAUGAAUAAAAAAAAAUUUCAUCGAGCCUGCCAGCAUUUUGGAAAAAUACAAUAGCUUCAACGGGUGAACAUUGUUUCUGAAAAUUUUUUCAAAAAGUGAAAUAAAAUUUUCUAUUCAAUGUGG
This is a long non-coding RNA of Uloborus diversus, 389 nucleotides long. RefSeq lists it as uncharacterized. The transcript has 4 exons. NCBI's taxonomy places the organism in Eukaryota, Metazoa, Arthropoda, Arachnida, Araneae, Uloboridae. The record is from RefSeq and is a predicted model, not a curated record.